This 208-nucleotide ribosomal RNA is filed under the name uncultured bacterium. RNAcentral's name for it is "partial 16S ribosomal RNA". It matches the Rfam family "Bacterial small subunit ribosomal RNA", at positions 568 to 774 of the family's 1533-position model. The record is from RNAcentral.
CAUGUAGGCGGUUAGGUAAGUCUGAUGUGAAAUCCCGGGGGCUCAACCCCGGACGUGCAUUGGAUACUGCUAGACUAGAGUACAGGAGGGGUGAGCGGAAUUCCAGGUGUAGAGGUGAAAUUCGUAGAUAUCUGGAGGAACAACGGAGGCGAAGGCGGCUCACUGGACUGUAACUGACGCUGAGAUGCGAAAGUGUGGGGAGCGAACG